This 2761-nucleotide unclassified non-coding RNA is filed under the name Leishmania donovani. RNAcentral's name for it is "gene:LdHU3.20.1330(CDS-product:UDP-galactose_tran sporter_putative)". The record is from RNAcentral. Lineage: Eukaryota; Euglenozoa; Kinetoplastea; Trypanosomatida; Trypanosomatidae.
AGGCGUCUGUGCUUGCGCUUCCGCUUCUCUUGCAUCUCUCCUUGGUUCAACGCACCACCACCAUUGCAGCAUCGGCAUGGAUGGCUUUCCUUCGCCAAUGUGGGUGCAGCGCUACGUGCUCAACUUCAAUGCCGUGGCGCUGGUGCUGCUAGCGGUGCAGAACGCUGGGUAUCUAGUCUUGAUGGGCUACUAGGAGCAGCUUGGGAAAGAGUACCUUCUCGCCGCCGGCAGCGCCAAACCGAAGGAGUACGAGGUGCGUGCGGCCACCUUCGAGGCUUCGCACUUUCUCGCGACGAAGGAACUGGCGAAGCUUUUUCUCUCUCUCCUGUGGUGCGUCGUGGACGAAGCUCGGGCAAUGCAGCAGGAGCGCUGUUCUGCCGAAGCACUCACGACAUCAACGGCCGCGUUGCCAGCUGAGGGUUCCGGGCGGAGCAAUGUCGCAGCAUUUGCCCAGACACCCAACUCCGUCGCGGAUGCCUCGUUUCAUCUCUCCCACAAUCUCGACAACGUCGCAGAGGACAUGGACGCUGAGUCUCUCGAUCACACUGUGCGGCUGCGGGUUCUCUUUGCCCGAAAGAGGUUCGCUGCUGUAUUUCUGAGCCGCAUGCGCCAUGCCAUCGGGCUGGACCACAAGUACAAAGAGACGCUGCUCAUGAUUGCGCCCGCCAUCGUCUACGCUAUCCAGGGGCUGCUGCUCAUCUACUCCCUCAAGCUGUUGGGCCCAGCCGUGUUUCAGGUCCUGUACCAGGUGCGCAUCCUCUUCCUGGCAGUCAUGAUGCGGGUCGUGCUGGACUUCCGUCUCUCGCCCAUCCGGUGGGGCGCACUGGUGGCGCUGAUGCUUGACAUCACGCUGGCACAGAUGGGUGCGCAGAGCACGCGAGCGGAUAUGACAACCAGUAAGGCAGAUGACGCUGCACGAUCAGAGAUGGAGAACGCUGCGGCGACCGAAAAGACCUCCAGCACGUGGUCAAUGGAGGGUACACUGGCUGCGCUCGCUGGCGGCUUCCUGAGCGCGUUCUCCGGUGUGUUCAUGGAGUUCGUGGUGAAGAAGCGCGGCAACCAGUUCCACCUGUCGGCGCGCAACACCCAUCUCGCGUUCUUCUCGGUCGUGUACUUCUUUAUUGUGUUCUUGUGCGAGAUCUUCCAGCCGGAAGAGGGGGCGGGCGGGCUUGAUGAGUUCACAAGCACGUUCUUCGACGGCUUCGCCAGGCUGGUGUGGUUUCUGGUGGUUCUGCAGGCGAUUGGCGGGAUCCUCGUGGCUCUGGUGGUGCGCUACUGCGACAACAUCGUGAAGUCGUUCUCGACGGCGUUCGCGAUUGUGCUGAGCGGCACGGCGUCCGUGUUUCUGUUCCACACGCCGCUGAACGGGACGUUUCUGCUGGGCUCCUUCCUUGUGCUCACCUCCAUCACCAUGUACACCGCGAAGAAGUAACGACUCUUCGAGCUGGGCGACAGGUGGGCGAGAUGAGAUGCAUCAACGCUUCUCAGUGAUCGGCAGCCCUUUCUGGCAUGUGUCUAUGCAGCCUAUGGGUUCUUGUGUGCAUGCGGAAAGCUUCGUCGCUCCCGAUGGAGUACGCGCACCCCUCAGCACGCAGCAUUCUCGGUGUCCAGUGCCCCACUCAUACUGUCUGCGGAGAAGCCAGGCAAGCCUCCCUAUCCCCUGCCCAUGCCAAAACACUUCCGCUGGCGACAGGGCCAGGCACCCGCGACGUGGGGAGGCCAAGGCGAUGUAUCGCUGCUGACGUCAGCGCUCAGGUCCUGGACGGUGUUGCGCCGUAGCGACCUGCGACAGUGCACGUGCUUGCAGUACGCAUAUGGUAGGCAGAGUGUCAGCGUGACGCGAGCGCAUAUCCCACGCACCCCUGGCCCUCGCUGCUGUCUGCAGAGGUGUGGGGGGCCUGAGCGCCCCUCCCCCCCCCCCGAGGGGAAUGCACCAGGUGGCGACCAGCAUCGUGUGCGUGCGGGGAGAGUUUUGUGCAGAGGCCGUGCUCUCAGAUGGCUGGGUCGGCGCACUGCUACAACGCCUGUGUCUACGGCAUGCUUCGCACCACGCGGAUGAGGCCUGUGGCAGGGGCCGAGGGACGUAUGGCCUCGUGCUGUAUGGCAGAGCAACGCACUCUUGUUGGCAGGAAAGGAGGACGAAGAAGAGCGACCUCACCAGCUUCGACUACGACUUCAUGCAAAUGAAAGCCGCGCGUUGCUGCGCGUGUGUGUGUGUGUGUGUGUGUGUCGCUCUCGCUCAUUUUCUGCCAUCCGCUUCCCUUCUCUCUCUGGCUCACAUGAAUGCACAUGCGCGCGCCAUCUUCAGAAUGGGCACCACGCACCCAAACGCCGUAACGAUUUGCUGACGCUGCUAUCAUAGAUAUAUAUAUAUAUGAGCGUAUAUACACAGGUUUUCGGCGCAAAACUUCUUCUGCGUCUGCUGCGCGCCGUGCCCCGGCGAUUUUCCUGUACAUUCAUAUUUUCCUGUGUUGCCUUCGCCUCUCGUUUCGCGCCCUCUUUCUCGCUGUUGCUUCCUUUGGGCCCUGGAAGAGGCCAUCGUCGCCUCGCCCGGCCUCCCAACCACCUCCGCCCCCUCUCCAGCGCACCCUCGCGUACGCAGAAAAAGGAAGAAAGCGAAGAAGGAGUGCAUCCGCGUCGGUGCGUGCAUACGCACACGCAGACGGAAACGCGUGCAAAGUGGACCAGGCCGGCGAGGAAGCCUUCGGCUUGCCAAACUCUUUUUUGUUGCUCUCCAUCAUCAUCCUCACUUGCGGCGUAG